GAUGAACGCUGGCGGCGUGCCUAACACAUGCAAGUCGAGCGAUUCUCUUCGGAGAAGAGCGGCGGACGGGUGAGUAACGCGUGGGCAACCUGCCCUGUACACAUGGAUAACAUACCGAAAGGUAUGCUAAUACGAGAUAAUAUGCAUUUAUAGCAUGGUAGAAGUAUCAAAGCUCCGGCGGUACAGGAUGGACCCGCGUCUGAUUAGCUAGUUGGUAAGGUAACGGCUCACCAAGGCGACGAUCAGUAGCCGACCUGAGAGGGUGAUCGGCCACAUUGGAACUGAGACAUGGUCCAAACUCCUACGGGAGGCAGCAGUGGGGAAUAUUGCACAAUGGGCGAAAGCCUGAUGCAGCAACGCCGCGUGAGCGAUGAAGGCCUUCGGGUCGUAAAGCUCUGUCCUCAAGGAAGAUAAUGACGGUACUUGAGGAGGAAGCCCCGGCUAACUACGUGCCAGCCGCCGCAGUAA
RNAcentral lists this ribosomal RNA (468 nucleotides) under uncultured bacterium. Its description in RNAcentral is "partial 16S ribosomal RNA". It matches the Rfam family "Bacterial small subunit ribosomal RNA", at positions 28 to 523 of the family's 1533-position model. The record is from RNAcentral.